UUUCCGUAGGUGAACCUGCGGAAGGAUCAUUAUUGGAUUUUGAAACAUCAGGCUGCUGCUGGCUCUCCUCGGAGGGCAUGUGCACGCUUGUUGUCCAUUAUUUCUCCCACUGUGCACAAAUUGUAGACCUUUCAGUAGGCCUAUGUUGUUUUUCACAAUCUCUGAAUGUAAUAGAAUGGUUUUGAAUCUUGGGAAAUACAAUACAACUUUCAGCAACGGAUCUCUUGGCUCUC
RNAcentral lists this unclassified non-coding RNA (233 nucleotides) under plant metagenome. RNAcentral describes it as "partial contains small subunit ribosomal RNA, internal transcribed spacer 1, and 5.8S ribosomal RNA". The record is from RNAcentral.